GUUUAAAUAUCGUCGGCUAAAAUUUCUGGGUUUUGAAAAAAAAACUGCAGAAACUUUCGGCCACCUCCAAUCACGACCAAAAUUUGACAGAAUCUUCCUCUCAACAUUUCGAACAACUUUGUAGAAGAAGUCAAAACUCAAUUCUAAGCCUAAACAGGUCAAUCGACUGAAAAUAUAAAAAUCCCCAAUUUUAAACCCUAAAAGCUUCAAAUCUUCGAUUCUCUUCACACACACCGAAUCGAGCUACCAAAUUCUAGGGGAAUGUAGUACUAAUCAAACUCAACUUAUCCAUAUAUAGAACUCACCAAAUGGUGACCUAAGGAAUGAGAAAUUUGAUCGACACCGAAUCCGAACCGGCGGAGUUUUGGAGCUCGAUUUAUCCCUCACGGCGGCACCACUCGAUGCACCACCUAUCCAGCAAUGAAGUAGAGACGACGGCGAAGCUUUUGGGACAAGUGUGACGGUCUCCGGUGGCUUGACGGCGGAGCUAGGCCGAGAAGAAAAUCUGGCAGAUAAUAGACUUCUUACCAUCCAUCUUCGUCCUAUAUAAAGAACUUUAGCCGGUUAAAGAAUACGAAAAUAAAGAAUUUCGUCGGCUAAACUCUUUUGAAAAUUUUGGUUGACCGCCAAAAAAUUUUGGUUGAAAAUUUUGAAAAUUUUUCGACUUUAGCCGACGACUUUUCAUAUAUUUUCGUCGGCUAAAGUCCUUUGAAAAUUUUCCUCCAACUUUGGUUUACCGCCUAAAAAAUUUUGAAAUUUUUUGACCUUAGCCGACGACUUUUCAUAUAUUUUCGUCGGCUAAAGUCUAUAAAUUCACGAAAACGCUCAUAUCUCCCCCUAUAUUACGUAAUUUGGUCAAACCUUCCACACCAAAAACUCUCACGUAGAUGAGACGCAACUGCCCAUAUAAAAAUUUUGAGACAUUUACCUUCCGACGAUAGGGCUCUCCAUAAGGAAUAAUAACGGUAAAUAGGGUUGACCGCUACUAUCGGCUCCGAGACUUUACCCGAUUUACGUGAUUUUUGAACCAUAGCCGUAUUUCACCAUUUU
RNAcentral lists this long non-coding RNA (1050 nucleotides) under Fragaria vesca (wild strawberry). RNAcentral's name for it is "long non-coding RNA (FVES_LNC005313)". Lineage: Eukaryota; Viridiplantae; Streptophyta; Magnoliopsida; Rosales; Rosaceae. The record is from RNAcentral.